Molecule: long non-coding RNA, 501 nt
Organism: Panicum hallii
Lineage: Eukaryota; Viridiplantae; Streptophyta; Magnoliopsida; Poales; Poaceae
Exons: 4
Source: RefSeq, a predicted model, not a curated record
CAAAAUCCUACCUCCACGCUUCUACUCUCCAGACGGACAACCCCAUCUCCAUCUCGUUCUACUUGCUCCCAUGGCUUCCUUGCUCUAAUCCCCCUCUGUUGGCGGCAAAUCCAUGGGAGAAACCAGCAAAAUGGAAAGAGGACGACAAGAGGAGCAAGAAGAGGGGCAUCUUCGAGGUGGAUUGGUCCUUUACCCUCUCUUCCCGCUGCUCUAGGGUUUGGGGAAGACCAAGGUGAUAAUGAUUCGUAUGGCGCCUAAAGUGGUCAUCUCUUUAUUGGAGGCUUUGGAAGAAACAUUGAGAAGCGAUGCUUCUUCAAGGCUUGGUGGUGAUCGGUACUUUAGUGGCUUUGCUUGAAGGGUGGGAAAGUAGCAGCACACCUCAAACUUCUAUGUCAUCAUCAAUAUUAAAAAUUUAUGUUGAAAUCAUAAUCUUUGUAGAAUUUGGUGCUUCUCCUUGUCGUUUUCCUUAAAUUUGCAAUGUGGUUCAUGUUGACUGGUUUA